AACACAUGCAAGUCGAACGAAGCUGUUAUUUGGAGACCUUCGGGUGGAAGAAUGACAGACUGAGUGGCGGACGGGUGAGUAACGCGUGGGUAACCUACCUUGCACAGGGGGACAACAGUUGGAAACGACUGCUAAUACCGCAUAAGACCACAGUACCGCACGGUACAGGGGUAAAAACUGAGGUGGUGCAAGAUGGACCCGCGUCUGAUUAGCUAGUUGGUGGGGUAAAGGCCUACCAAGGCGACGAUCAGUAGCCGACCUGAGAGGGUGAUCGGCCACAUUGGGACUGAGACACGGCCCAAACUCCUACGGGAGGCAGCAGUGGGGAAUAUUGGACAAUGGGGGGAACCCUGAUCCAGCGACGCCGCGUGAGUGAAGAAGUAUUUCGGUAUGUAAAGCUCUAUCAGCAGGGAAGAAAAUGACGGUACCUGACUAAGAAGCCCCGGCUAACUACGUGCCAGCAGCCGCGGUAAUACGUAGGGGGCAAGCGUUAUCCGGAUUUACUGGGUGUAAAGGGAGCGCAGACGGCUUGGCAAGUCUGAAGUGAAAGCCCGGGGCUUAACCCCGGGACUGCUUUGGAAACUGUGAAGCUAGAGUGUCGGAGAGGUAAGUGGAAUUCCCAGUGUAGCGGUGAAAUGCGUAGAUAUUGGGAGGAACACCGGUGGCGAAGGCGGCUUACUGGACGAUAACUGACGUUGAGGCUCGAAGGCGUGGGGAGCAAACAGG
RNAcentral lists this ribosomal RNA (726 nucleotides) under uncultured Lachnospiraceae bacterium. RNAcentral's name for it is "bacterial SSU rRNA". It matches the Rfam family "Bacterial small subunit ribosomal RNA", at positions 50 to 776 of the family's 1533-position model. The record is from RNAcentral. Lineage: Bacteria; Bacillati; Bacillota; Clostridia; Lachnospirales; Lachnospiraceae.